GGUUAAGCGACUAAGCGUACACGGUGGAUGCCCUGGCAGUCAGAGGCGAUGAAGGACGUGCUAAUCUGCGAUAAGCGUCGGUAAGGUGAUAUGAACCGUUAUAACCGGCGAUUUCCGAAUGGGGAAACCCAGUGUGAUUCGUCACACUAUCAUUAACUGAAUCCAUAGGUUAAUGAGGCGAACCGGGGGAACUGAAACAUCUAAGUACCCCGAGGAAAAGAAAUCAACCGAGAUUCCCCCAGUAGCGGCGAGCGAACGGGGAGCAGCCCAGAGCCUGAAUCAGUGUGUGUGUUAGUGGAAGCGUCUGGAAAGGCGCGCGAUACAGGGUGACAGCCCCGUACACAAAAAUGCACAUGCUGUGAGCUCGAUGAGUAGGGCGGGACACGUGGUAUCCUGUCUGAAUAUGGGGGGACCAUCCUCCAAGGCUAAAUACUCCUGACUGACCGAUAGUGAACCAGUACCGUGAGGGAAAGGCGAAAAGAACCCCGGCGAGGGGAGUGAAAAAGAACCUGAAACCGUGUACGUACAAGCAGUGGGAGCACGCUUAGGCGUGUGACUGCGUACCUUUUGUAUAAUGGGUCAGCGACUUAUAUUCUGUAGCAAGGUUAACCGAAUAGGGGAGCCGAAGGGAAACCGAGUCUUAACUGGGCGUUAAGUUGCAGGGUAUAGACCCGAAACCCGGUGAUCUAGCCAUGGGCAGGUUGAAGGUUGGGUAACACUAACUGGAGGACCGAACCGACUAAUGUUGAAAAAUUAGCGGAUGACUUGUGGCUGGGGGUGAAAGGCCAAUCAAACCGGGAGAUAGCUGGUUCUCCCCGAAAGCUAUUUAGGUAGCGCCUCGUGAAUUCAUCUCCGGGGGUAGAGCACUGUUUCGGCAAGGGGGUCAUCCCGACUUACCAACCCGAUGCAAACUGCGAAUACCGGAGAAUGUUAUCACGGGAGACACACGGCGGGUGCUAACGUCCGUCGUGAAGAGGGAAACAACCCAGACCGCCAGCUAAGGUCCCAAAGUCAUGGUUAAGUGGGAAACGAUGUGGGAAGGCCCAGACAGCCAGGAUGUUGGCUUAGAAGCAGCCAUCAUUUAAAGAAAGCGUAAUAGCUCACUGGUCGAGUCGGCCUGCGCGGAAGAUGUAACGGGGCUAAACCAUGCACCGAAGCUGCGGCAGCGACACUAUGUGUUGUUGGGUAGGGGAGCGUUCUGUAAGCCUGUGAAGGUGUACUGUGAGGUAUGCUGGAGGUAUCAGAAGUGCGAAUGCUGACAUAAGUAACGAUAAAGCGGGUGAAAAGCCCGCUCGCCGGAAGACCAAGGGUUCCUGUCCAACGUUAAUCGGGGCAGGGUGAGUCGACCCCUAAGGCGAGGCCGAAAGGCGUAGUCGAUGGGAAACAGGUUAAUAUUCCUGUACUUGGUGUUACUGCGAAGGGGGGACGGAGAAGGCUAUGUUGGCCGGGCGACGGUUGUCCCGGUUUAAGCGUGUAGGCUGGUUUUCCAGGCAAAUCCGGAAAAUCAAGGCUGAGGCGUGAUGACGAGGCACUACGGUGCUGAAGCAACAAAUGCCCUGCUUCCAGGAAAAGCCUCUAAGCAUCAGGUAACAUCAAAUCGUACCCCAAACCGACACAGGUGGUCAGGUAGAGAAUACCAAGGCGCUUGAGAGAACUCGGGUGAAGGAACUAGGCAAAAUGGUGCCGUAACUUCGGGAGAAGGCACGCUGAUAUGUAGGUGAAGUCCCUCGCGGAUGGAGCUGAAAUCAGUCGAAGAUACCAGCUGGCUGCAACUGUUUAUUAAAAACACAGCACUGUGCAAACACGAAAGUGGACGUAUACGGUGUGACGCCUGCCCGGUGCCGGAAGGUUAAUUGAUGGGGUUAGCGCAAGCGAAGCUCUUGAUCGAAGCCCCGGUAAACGGCGGCCGUAACUAUAACGGUCCUAAGGUAGCGAAAUUCCUUGUCGGGUAAGUUCCGACCUGCACGAAUGGCGUAAUGAUGGCCAGGCUGUCUCCACCCGAGACUCAGUGAAAUUGAACUCGCUGUGAAGAUGCAGUGUACCCGCGGCAAGACGGAAAGACCCCGUGAACCUUUACUAUAGCUUGACACUGAACAUUGAGCCUUGAUGUGUAGGAUAGGUGGGAGGCUUUGAAGUGUGGACGCCAGUCUGCAUGGAGCCGACCUUGAAAUACCACCCUUUAAUGUUUGAUGUUCUAACGUUGACCCGUAAUCCGGGUUGCGGACAGUGUCUGGUGGGUAGUUUGACUGGGGCGGUCUCCUCCUAAAGAGUAACGGAGGAGCACGAAGGUUGGCUAAUCCUGGUCGGACAUCAGGAGGUUAGUGCAAUGGCAUAAGCCAGCUUGACUGCGAGCGUGACGGCGCGAGCAGGUGCGAAAGCAGGUCAUAGUGAUCCGGUGGUUCUGAAUGGAAGGGCCAUCGCUCAACGGAUAAAAGGUACUCCGGGGAUAACAGGCUGAUACCGCCCAAGAGUUCAUAUCGACGGCGGUGUUUGGCACCUCGAUGUCGGCUCAUCACAUCCUGGGGCUGAAGUAGGUCCCAAGGGUAUGGCUGUUCGCCAUUUAAAGUGGUACGCGAGCUGGGUUUAGAACGUCGUGAGACAGUUCGGUCCCUAUCUGCCGUGGGCGCUGGAGAACUGAGGGGGGCUGCUCCUAGUACGAGAGGACCGGAGUGGACGCAUCACUGGUGUUCGGGUUGUCAUGCCAAUGGCACUGCCCGGUAGCUAAAUGCGGAAGAGAUAAGUGCUGAAAGCAUCUAAGCACGAAACUUGCCCCGAGAUGAGUUCUCCCUGACUCCUUGAGAGUCCUGAAGGAACGUUGAAGACGACGACGUUGAUAGGCCGGGUGUGUAAGCGCAGCGAUGCGUUGAGCUAACCGGUACUAAUGAACCGUGAGGCUUAACCUU
RNAcentral lists this ribosomal RNA (2903 nucleotides) under Escherichia coli. Its description in RNAcentral is "23S ribosomal RNA". It matches the Rfam family "Bacterial large subunit ribosomal RNA". The record is from RNAcentral. Lineage: Bacteria; Pseudomonadati; Pseudomonadota; Gammaproteobacteria; Enterobacterales; Enterobacteriaceae.